GACGAACGCUGGCGGCGUGCCUAAUACAUGCAAGUAGAACGCUGAAGGAGGAGCUUGCUUCUCUGGAUGAGUUGCGAACGGGUGAGUAACGCGUAGGUAACCUGCCUGGUAGCGGGGGAUAACUAUUGGAAACGAUAGCUAAUACCGCAUAACAGUAGAUGUUGCAUGACAUUUGCUUAAAAGGUGCAAUUGCAUCACUCCCAGAUGGACCUGCGUUGUAUUAGCUAGUUGGUGGGGUAACGGCUCACCAAGGCGACGAUACAUAGCCGACCUGAGAGGGUGAUCGGCCACACUGGGACUGAGACACGACCCAGACUCCUACGGGAGGCAGCAGUAGGGAAUCUUCGGCAAUGGACGGAAGUCUGACCGAGCAACGCCGCGUGAGUGAAGAAGGUUUUCGGAUCGUAAAGCUCUGUUGUAAGAGAAGAACGAGUGUGAGAGUGGAAAGUUCACACUGUGACGGAAUCUACCAG
RNAcentral lists this ribosomal RNA (473 nucleotides) under Streptococcus mitis. RNAcentral's name for it is "bacterial SSU rRNA". It matches the Rfam family "Bacterial small subunit ribosomal RNA", at positions 28 to 486 of the family's 1533-position model. Lineage: Bacteria; Bacillati; Bacillota; Bacilli; Lactobacillales; Streptococcaceae. The record is from RNAcentral.